AUGGCCAAAACUUCAACUGGUUCUGAAAAGUUCCGUAUCCAGAUUGAAGAGCAAGCUCGUGCUAUAGCAGCCACCCAGGAGCGAAACUCUCAGCUCAGCCAGCAGGUCAAUGACUUAGAAGAUCAACUACAAGCUGAACGUGCUAACACACAAGAGAGUAUUAACUUGGAGCGUGCUGAGAGAGAACAACUUGAGGAGAGGUUAAAAGAAGAGCGUGCUGAAAGGGAAAGAUUGUUGCAAGAGGAGCGAACAUCAAGACUGGAAUUUGAAAAAAACAUGAUGGCAAAGUUUGUAGAAUUGAGCAAAUAG
This 309-nucleotide ribosomal RNA is filed under the name Triticum aestivum (bread wheat). RNAcentral's name for it is "partial small subunit ribosomal RNA". Lineage: Eukaryota; Viridiplantae; Streptophyta; Magnoliopsida; Poales; Poaceae. The record is from RNAcentral.